RNAcentral lists this ribosomal RNA (253 nucleotides) under uncultured bacterium. RNAcentral's name for it is "partial 16S ribosomal RNA". It matches the Rfam family "Bacterial small subunit ribosomal RNA", at positions 524 to 776 of the family's 1533-position model. The record is from RNAcentral.
UACGGGGGGGGCAAGCGUUGUUCGGAAUUACUGGGCGUAAAGGGUUCGUAGGUGGCCGGCUAAGUCAGACGUGAAAUCCCUCAGCUUAACUGGGGAACUGCGUCUGAGACUGGUCGGCUCGAGUGCAGGAGAGGAACGCGGAAUUCCAGGUGUAGCGGUGAAAUGCGUAGAUAUCUGGAGGAACACCGGUGGCGAAGGCGGCGUUCUGGACUGCAACUGACACUGAGGAACGAAAGCCAGGGGAGCAAACGGG